UCACUGGGUGUAUGAUGAUUG
RNAcentral lists this microRNA (21 nucleotides) under Bombyx mori (domestic silkworm). The record is from RNAcentral. Lineage: Eukaryota; Metazoa; Arthropoda; Insecta; Lepidoptera; Bombycidae.